AUCUGUGUAGAAUCUCUCGGUGAGAUUCUUAGUGUUUUAAAAUGAAAGUAGGGGCUCAGCCUUGGGAGUCAUUAUGACGCUUCAAUGGUCAAUCAAACUCACUUAGAGAGGUUGAACCAUGUGGUGAGAAGUAGCAGGAGGUCCUUAGUCUUGGGGGCUCCCAGUAUGCCUCAAGAGGCGGAACGGACUGACCUCGUGUAAGGCAGGGUGGGGAAUCCAAGUUUCAUAAGUCACCACGGGUGCAAGACUCGCCAUAGCCCGACUAUCGUUUUAAAGUCCGGACGAGUCAAGUCUAGAAAUUUGCAUGCUUAGGUGAUAUUUUUGAAUCUGUUUGAGAUAAGUUGUUCUUUUAUGUUGCAUGUUUAAUACAACUGUAUGAUUUUAUAUAAUUAGCUCACCCUUGCCUUGUUUGUUGUUGUAUGUUGUAUGUAUUUCUUUUGCAAUGAUCAUUCAUUUUUUAAUGUGAGCAGAGGAGAAUGAGGUCACCUUGGAGGACGCCUUGGAGAGGAACGAAAACACUGAUGCUGCUCCUUAGUUCCUUAGGAUUUCUGAACUGUUAAUUUUCAUUUGAAUUCAUGUAUCUAUUUUGAAAAACUCUAGCAUUUUUCCAUGUGCUUUAAUUUCUUCUAACUUUCUGGAUUACUGUAACCACAACCUAAAUACUUUUCUUACUCUUAAACUGCUCUCUUUUAUUAUGUAUGAUGACGUCUUAAAUUAUAUAAUUAUACGUUAUAUUUUGGGAUGUCACAUUUAUGGUAUUAGAGCAGUUUGUUCCUAGGAUAACCUACGGGUUGCGGUUUUGUCGUGUCUUUCCUGUGGAAAGUUGAGUCUAAAUGGUAUGUCAUACCAUCUAUUCCAAGUUUAGAUAGUAAAAAAAAAAUCGUAUUUAACUGGAAGUUUUGAGAACAGAAAAAUGUCUUGAUAGGAGUAAUGAGGGUGCACACUCAUGACUCUUACCAGAGAUGAUUUUCCUUUCUUAAUUCUGAAGGUUUGGGGUAAGAAAGAGUUGGGGUUAUCCUACGUGUAUGAAAUGGUUUAAUGCUUUUGUAUGCAAUUGUGGUUGGAGUCUGUUUCUGGGUCCUUGUGUAUUAGAUUCAUGGAGAGGGGUGGAGGUAGUGGUUCUUCUAGUAUAAUUAGGAUCUGUUUUGGGGUUAAUUUAAGAGGAUGCUAACUUAGUUUCAAUUCCGUUUAACUAAAAUAUAUGUUAUGUUACUUGGUUAUACUAUCACUACAUUACCAUGUUUUUCUUUUCUAAGAUACUGAAAUUCACUUCCUAUUGAUUGAAUGUAAUGUUCUUGGUUGUUGACGUGAAAUUAUUGUAUGAGCUUGUUGUGGUUAGGUAUCUUGUUUGAUCACUUGAAUAUGUUGUAAUUAUGUUUGAUGAAGUACCUGCAGUAUGGGUUUAUAUUUUAAAUACUUUUGACUUGUUAAUGUUAUACUUCAUGGGUAAUGGCUGAUUAGAGCCAACAUCAUUGUUGAUAUAUUGGGGGUCACGAAUUGGAUGGUACAAAAUGAGAAGGAACACGAUUUUAAUGUCUGCAUUGCCUAUAAAAUGUUGGAAUUGAAUGAAUGUUUGUGUCUUGGUAUGAUAGAGUGUAAGUCUGAAAUUGAUUUGAUAUAAGCAUGAGUUUGGUUGUCCUUAUUGUUAUUUUUAUUGUUAUAUUUCUCUGCAGACGUGUGAUAUGUGAUGUUUAUUAUUUUCAUUUGUAGUAAAAAUGAAAUAAACUCUAUAGUAUAAAAUUAUUUUUAUUUCCAGCAUACAAACUCGUGCUGUCAGAACCAUACAUCAUAGUUUAGUAUAAAUUGAUUUCUUACUUUUUUUUCCAUCAUGUUAGGGAGAUGAGGUUAUAUUAUUUUUUUUUUCUUUUUUUUAAUCACGAAAGCUUUAUCAAUUUUGCCCAUAAUGUAUUGUUUACUAAAUCUUCAAUUUAUGCUUUAUUCUAGCUUAUUUUAUUAUUUCAUCUCCACUUUAUAAUAAUAUUAUAACUAUCAGAGUUAUUGUUUUAAAUUAACACUAAAGCAAUCUUUUUAAUUCUACAACAUAUAAAAUAGUUUUUGGGCUAAUCCAUGUUGUUUUGUUUCAGAAUGUUUGGUCAAAUUAUUUCUGCGCACAAAUCAAUUUAUUACUCUUUGUAUCAUAAAUUCUAUGUGCAAAAAAACAAAAAAUUAUUUGCAUAGAUUUGUAAUAUUCUCAAUUGUUAUAUGAUGUCUAAUGUUCUAGUGAUUUUAUUAAUUGUUCGAUUCAUGCCUCUCGAUAGAAUAAAUAUAUAAAAUUUGCACUUUAACAUAUAUAGGAUACAGUGCUGUAAUUUCCAAGAAGUGUUCUAAUUAUCGUUAUAUUUUUAUUUCAAUGGUUGCAGGUGAACUAUAAUAUUUUUGUGAUUUACUUUACUCACAUGAGUCAUACUAUUUCAUAGAAACUGCAACUCUGUUUUAUUUCAUUAACCAUCAUGCUGUUAUAAAUUAUGUUAUGACUACCAAAUUUUUGUUCACCACUGCAAAUUAUGUUGAAUCCUGAAUUGGUGUGUUGAUUUAAACUGUUAUGUACCUGUUGAGUAUAAAUUGACUUGUGUUAUGAUGCUGAAAAUUGUGCGUGUAAAAAUGUAUUGGUUGUAAGCUGUUAUGAUGGGAUUGAUUGCUGAAAUAUAGAUGGGUUUAGUGAAGAUAAGAGGAAUAUAAUUUUUUGCAUAAUUAUUAUAUAAGUAUGGGUACUGUAAGAAAACUUCUUGUUUGAGAAAUAGAGAAAGGAAGAAGUGUUGUGAAUUGGUAGAGGCUAAAGAUGUGAUCUAUAUUUUUAUAUCUUUAUCGAACCAUGUAGAAAUUUCUUAUAUGUCUUAUGAAUAUCUUUUCUUGCACUUCCAUAAUCUUCAUAAUUAUUAAUUGUUAUUCCAUAAUGAUUCUGUAAUUUAUAAGUAAAUUUAAGCAUUUUUUUUAGAAUGUAUUUUUAUUUUAGAUUUUAAAAUAUACAAUUUGAAAUAUAUUUAUUUUAUUUUGAAAUAGACAAUUUAAAAUACAGAAGUUAUAAUUUAAGUCAUAUAUUCUGAAAAAAAUAAAUAAAUUUUAGAUUGUAUAAUGUUAAAUAUAUUUUGUAUUUUAUAUUCUAUGAUGUAUCAUUUAUGUUUAAAUUGGUUGGUCACGUGAUGCAAAGACCUUGUAUAAACAAUUAUUAGUUUAUGUGAUGCUUUUAUUAAAGGAAUGAAUCAUACUUGUUCUUUUUAAAGUUUGGGAAAACCUUUUAAAGGAUAGGAAUACUAUAACUUAGUUUUGGAAAUGGCAAUGCUAAGAUUAAAUAGUAUAUUACAUUAUAUUAUAUAUUACAUAAUAUGCUUAUUCUAUAAUUUUUUUUUGGUGAACCUUUUAUAUUAUAUAAUAUAAACUUAUACAUAUAUUAGAUAUAUAAUAGUAUAGAAACGUUAACAAGUUAUUUAGUUAACUUAGUUUUGUUAAUAUUAUAUUAUAAUAUAUCAAUAUUAGAAUUAUGUAAGUUUGACCUUUGAUUAAUUUAUUGAUUGGCAUAAAUUUAAAUUAUAUACUAUUAUCAUUAAAAUAGUAGCUUUAGGUUUUGUUAGGAAAUAAAUAUAUAAAUUAAGAGUGAUAGAAAAUGGGUAAGAGAAGUGAGAGUUUGAGUCAGUGGGAGUUGUAAGAGGUCAUGAAGCUUGGAGGAAGUGAUUGCGUAGAGAGGAAGAUAAUUUUCUAGGUAUGGGAAGUUGUUUAAUUGUGUGUGUGAAUGACAUGCUUCUCUCUACUUAAUUGUGUUCACUCGAGUAUUGUAUGAUGGGGAAUUGAGUUAUCAGAUUUGACUGGGAAGAGGGUAGUGAUGAAUUAAGUAUGAGAAAUAUGUUAAAUUGAUGUUUGAGUUGUAUUGGGUUAAGGAAAAUGGUUCUCCUCUGUUCACUUUGUGACCAGUAGUAAAAUGGGACUAUGCAUAUGUUUCUUGAGUUGUACCUUUUUCUGUGGUGAUUGUAAUAUGGGAAUAUUAUAAGGGUGUGAUUUCUCUUAAAAGGAAAGAAGAACAAGAUAGUUGUUUGGUGGAAAUGGAUAUAUAAUGAGUUAUGUUUUCAAUUUUAUAAAUUAAGAAGUUGGUAUAAAAAUAAGUUUUUGUGAUGUUAAGAUGCAUUAGGUGUGGUAUAGGACGUUGUUCAGUGAUAUAUAUGUUUGGGUAUUAGUAUAUUAUAGGGCAUGAUUUUAAAGGGCUAAAAGAAUAUGGUUAAUAGAAACUGUUAUAAGGAGAUUUUUUUUUUCAUAUGCAAAAUAAUAAUAUUAAGGUUGGUGCGGUGAUUCUCUUAUGGUAUAAAUUCAGAAUCUGUCUUUUUGUUUGUUUGGGAAUAAGUUGGGGGUCAAUUGAAUUAAAUGAUUAUCUUUCACGUUAUCUGGUGUAUUACAAUAAUAUACUAAAAUUUUGUAACCAAUAAGUUAUCACAUUAGGAAAUCCAUAAUAAAGAGUGGUUUUUCAUGUUAAGUAACGUCAUUGGAGAGUAAUAUCAUAGUAAAAAUAGGUGAUUGUAUUAGAGGAUGUGAUAAGAGUAGGUUGUUUCUUCUCUCUAGAAAGUUUAAUUUUCGAGGACGAAAAUUUUUUAUGUGUGAGAGAAUGUAAGGGUCUGUAAAAAAAAAUAGUAAUAAUAAAGGGGUUGUUGGGCCUUAUUUGAGGCAGCCAGACCCAUAAAAACUAAAGGUACCUUAGCCUUAGAAGGGGGCUUUUAGAAAUCAGAUUUCAUAAGCCACUUACAUUCUCUCUCUAGAACACUAAGUUCCUAAAAUCCUCUGCCUUCUCUCUAAAAUUCUCUCUGCCUUCACUCUAACCCUCAAACACACUGACUCAGUGCAUGUCCCUUUUGGUGGCACCUCCGUUGUCGUAACGUCAAGGGCUUCGUUACCAUCCGAACAAUUUUGCGUUCUUCAGCGGGUAAGCAGUUUCUCCUUUUUCCGCUGUUUACGGACCCUAGGGCAAGCAACUCUGCUGGUUGCAUGUGCCUUGUGCGUUCUUCCUUCCGUCCUUGUUCAUUCUAAAUCUAAGGGUUGUGUUCUAUCACCAGUUUGGUGAUCUGUAGGUCCUGUUCAAGGUUCUGUGUGGAAUUCACUGUUUAAAGUGUUCUAGCCAACUGUUUUACGCUACCACCAAGGUAAGGGGAGCUAACUAUAUAAGUAUUUUGUUGUUCUGAUUAAUUCCUGAAUUUAUGAGAAAAUAUGUUGAAUUGUGUUUGUACACUGGUUAACUCUGUUUUAAUGCUCUAUGCAUGUGAAAUUUAACUGUGAUAUAUUGUUUGAUAUUUAAUUGUCUCUGUUUUAAGUAUNNN
Molecule: long non-coding RNA, 5294 nt
Filed under: Vigna radiata
Lineage: Eukaryota; Viridiplantae; Streptophyta; Magnoliopsida; Fabales; Fabaceae
Description: long non-coding RNA (VRAD_LNC014051)
Source: RNAcentral